Molecule: transfer RNA, 50 nt
Filed under: Junonia cytora
Lineage: Eukaryota; Metazoa; Arthropoda; Insecta; Lepidoptera; Nymphalidae
Also listed under: 1 other name
Description: tRNA-Ile
Source: RNAcentral
AAUAAAGUGCCUGAUAAAAGGAUUAUUCUGAUAGGAUAAAUUAUGUAAAA